GCCAAAUUCGUUUUAGUAUGAAUAUGAUAAAAAUCAAAGGAUGGAUACCGUGUCAUUUAAUUGUCCUUCAACUUUUUGCAAAAACUGUUUGUAGUGGAUUAUGUGGAGACAAAUGCUGUUAUAACUUUUACCGAAGUCCAGGCGGAGAUUGUCUUGGUGAGUACAAUUAAAUCCUAUUAGUGUUUAUAUCCCUUACUAUUAUCGA
Long non-coding RNA from Saccostrea cuccullata (small rock oyster), 205 nucleotides. RefSeq lists it as uncharacterized. The record is from RefSeq and is a predicted model, not a curated record. The transcript has 2 exons. NCBI's taxonomy places the organism in Eukaryota, Metazoa, Mollusca, Bivalvia, Ostreida, Ostreidae.